UCUUUCUUCUGGCUUACAAAGGCCCGCCUGGGGCUCGCGAAAGCGCUAACCGUCAACCGCAAGCAAGCCUAUCCCGCGUCAAAGCCGCAUGUAUUGACGAGUGUUGCGGAACUAAUGCGUACGCAGACCAGAGCGGAAGGCGGAGUGGGCUUGCAAGCGGCACGAGAGUAGGCAGUCAGUAGCGCAAGUUGCGAGUUCAUAUGUUACCUGGUAACCGACGGUAAACGCUGUGGACGGUCGCGCCCAUGGCUGGCUGACGGAAGGCGGCUGCUGUACUAGGAUGGCUGGGCUGGACGACGGCGGCCGCAUCACCGCUUGCACGCCGGGCUGCACGUGCACUGCUGCUCGAUGAUGCCCUUGGCGCGCUGCCCGAAGCACACGCUGCGGUUGAGUUGUUGCGCUUCGCCUCGAGGAUCAGGUGCUCGGGGUUGCAGCACCGUGGGUGGUGGCAGAGGUGCGACGCCUCGGGCUUCUCGGUCUGGGAAGGGAGGGGCCGCGUCCACUCCUAGUACAAGCAAAAGCAGAGGGUCCGUCUCCUGGGUUGCAAUUCGCGAACUGCAGGUCAUGGCAGCAAGGCUAUGAUGGCUGUAGGCCCUCACGGCAAUGGUGACAUUAUGUAAUUCAUGUCUGUGUAGCAAUGCGGGCCCAGCAGGAUGGCCCCGUUCAGGCUUGGGGGGCUGCGCGCCAUUAAAUGGGGAACCCUGCCACGCGUGCGGCAAGCAAACGGUGGCAAGCUCCGACAUUCGACGCAGAGUGCCAUUGGCUUGCAUGGCGUGCACACGUCGUACACGCGGUCUCAUGUGCUUGUGCCUCAUGGUACAGCGUGGCCGUGCUCCUGGGGUAGGUCUAGGUCCUGGACAUGCCCACCUUUGCCCGCCGCUGUCCUCCGCCAGCGGCCAGCCCCCCUCGUUGUGUGCAGAGAGCUUGGCGACUCAGGAAAUGCGGCACAGCCCUCAUACACCCGGCCACCUUUUCUUGCUCUCGGCUAGAAUUAGAAUGCAAGCAUUCGAGGCGAAGUGUGAGGGUGGUGGGCGCCAGGGUGCGCCUGGACCCCGGAAACACGCUGCCGCGCCGUGCUUUGAUGAAACCACGAGGAUGGCAUGUGACCUUUAUUACGUUGCGCCCCUACCUGCCGCGGGCGCUCGCCAACCGAGCGCUUGGAACCGAGUCGCUCUCCAAAAUGUGGCUGCAGCUAUCGUGUUGCGGCAUACACGCCAGCUUGCGUUGCACGUACUCUUUGCAUUGCAAAAACACAGUGCGGGGCAAUGUUUCCGCACGGG
RNAcentral lists this long non-coding RNA (1280 nucleotides) under Chlamydomonas reinhardtii. Its description in RNAcentral is "long non-coding RNA (CREI_LNC000473)". Lineage: Eukaryota; Viridiplantae; Chlorophyta; Chlorophyceae; Chlamydomonadales; Chlamydomonadaceae. The record is from RNAcentral.